UGUGGGCACCCCUUACUGGAUGGCCCCAGAAGUCAUCCUCGCGAUGGACGAAGGGCAGUAUGAUGGGAAGGUGGAUGUGUGGUCUCUGGGCAUCACCUGCAUCGAGCUGGCGGAGAGGAAGCCUCCUCUGUUCAACAUGAACGCUAUGAGUGCCUUAUACCACAUCGCACAGAACGAGAGCCCGGUGCUGCAGUCCAACCACUGGUGAGAGCUCGCCCU
This is a non-coding RNA of Lepisosteus oculatus (spotted gar), 219 nucleotides long. NCBI's taxonomy places the organism in Eukaryota, Metazoa, Chordata, Actinopteri, Semionotiformes, Lepisosteidae. The record is from RefSeq and is a predicted model, not a curated record.